This 261-nucleotide unclassified non-coding RNA is filed under the name uncultured fungus. RNAcentral describes it as "partial contains 5.8S ribosomal RNA, internal transcribed spacer 2, and large subunit ribosomal RNA". The stretch from base 1 to 52 matches the Rfam family "5.8S ribosomal RNA", at positions 103 to 154 of the family's 154-position model. The record is from RNAcentral. Lineage: Eukaryota; Fungi.
AACGCACAUUGCGCCCCCUGGUAUUCCGGGGGGCAUGCCUGUCCGAGCGUCAUUACAACCCUCAAGCACGGCUUGUGUUAUGGGCCGUCGUCCCCUACUCGCUAGGUGGACGCGUCCGAAAUGCAGUGACGGUAGCCGCGACUCCGGUGCCCGAGUGAAUGGAGGAUAAUACCACCGCUCGUUUGGCCCGGCCGGCUCCGGUCGAAAUCAUUUAUUUCUUAGGUUGACCUCGGAUCAGGUAGGGAUACCCGCUGAACUUAA